Molecule: transfer RNA, 83 nt
Filed under: Planctomycetaceae bacterium
Lineage: Bacteria; Pseudomonadati; Planctomycetota; Planctomycetia; Planctomycetales; Planctomycetaceae
Description: tRNA-Leu
Rfam family: tRNA
About the family: Transfer RNA (tRNA) molecules are approximately 80 nucleotides in length. Their secondary structure includes four short double-helical elements and three loops (D, anti-codon, and T loops).
Source: RNAcentral
GCCGGGGUGGCGGAAUGGCAGACGCACCGGAUUCAAAAUCCGGCGCCCUCAAAGGCGUGUGGGUUCGAGUCCCACCCUCGGCA